This 252-nucleotide ribosomal RNA is filed under the name uncultured bacterium. Its description in RNAcentral is "partial 16S ribosomal RNA". It matches the Rfam family "Bacterial small subunit ribosomal RNA", at positions 524 to 776 of the family's 1533-position model. The record is from RNAcentral.
UACGGGGGGGCAAGCGUUGUUCGGAAUUACUGGGCGUAAAGGGCUCGUAGGCGGCCAACUAAGUCAGACGUGAAAUCCCUCGGCUUAACCGGGGAACUGCGUCUGAUACUGGAUGGCUCGAGAUUGGGAGAGGGAUGCGGAAUUCCAGGUGUAGCGGUGAAAUGCGUAGAUAUCUGGAGGAACACCGGUGGCGAAGGCGGCAUCCUGGACCAACACUGACGCUGAGGAGCGAAAGCCAGGGGAGCAAACGGG